GAUGAAGAACGCAGCGAAAUGCGAUACGUAAUGUGAAUUGCAAAUUCAGUGAAUCAUCGAGUCUUUGAACGCACAUUGCGCCCCCUGGUAUUCCGGGGGGCAUGCCUGUCCGAGCGUCAUUGCUGCCCUCAAGCACGGCUUGUGUGUUGGGCCCCGCCCUCCGAUCCCGGGGGACGGGCCCGAAAGGCAGCGGCGGCACCGCGUCCGGUCCUCGAGCGUAUGGGGCUUUGUCACCCGCUCUGUAGGCCCGGCCGGCGCUUGCCGAUCAACCCAAAUUUUUAUCCAGGUUGACCUCGGAUCAGGUAGGGAUACCCGCUGAACUUAAGCAUAUCAUAAGCGGAGGA
This 344-nucleotide unclassified non-coding RNA is filed under the name soil metagenome. RNAcentral describes it as "partial contains 5.8S ribosomal RNA, internal transcribed spacer 2, and large subunit ribosomal RNA". The stretch from base 1 to 119 matches the Rfam family "5.8S ribosomal RNA", at positions 35 to 154 of the family's 154-position model. The record is from RNAcentral.